Molecule: long non-coding RNA, 746 nt
Organism: Panicum hallii
Lineage: Eukaryota; Viridiplantae; Streptophyta; Magnoliopsida; Poales; Poaceae
Exons: 3
Source: RefSeq, a predicted model, not a curated record
CAAAUAGUGCCCAACUAAUAUGCGAGAGCUGCUGAUAUUUUGUUUGUUUCCUGGGUUUGAAUCACAAUUUGAUGACUUGACUGUUCAACUCGACAAAGGCUACGAGGGCCACCAUUAUUGACCCUUCGGCAUCAUGGUCCUCCACUUGUUUAGGCAAAGUUGAAUUAUAUGUACAUAGAGGAUUUGAUAUCUAUUCAGGAAAGUAGUAAGUUGGCUCCUCACUGCAUUUUCACCGGCCACCGUCUACCGUUUGAAUUGUCCAUGCAGCCCUUUCUACUGUCCAUCAAGGUUCAUGCUGUAGUGGAAACAAUGAUAUGUCUUUCUUAGUUGUUCCACCUUCCUACGUUGCCAUGGUUUUAGCUAUAGGAUGCUUUGAUGGUGUUGCCAUGCAUAUGAUUGUGCUGUGUGCAGCUGCUUCCUCCAUCCGAUUUUAUACGGUUCUACAUCUCUGGUUGUAGUUUAUCCAUUAUUUCCUCCUGCAUCAUUUUUGACACCUGAAUUCUAAUCUACUGUAAGUUAAAUAAAACAUGCAAGUAACCUCUUGUUUGUUGUAACAUAAAAGAUUUAUACAAUUGGUAUAUUCUUGAAAUCAUUAGGAUAUGAAAUGAUUCUAUGCAGCAUGUUGUUUCUCUGUCCAUUGAAAGGAUGAUAUGGUUCGACACUGAUAAUGCAAUUUGCUACUGCAAUUUACAAUACUUUAUAGUAUAGUUAUUAAGAAAUGAAGAUUUAGCAUCUAUAUUUAUCUA